RNAcentral lists this ribosomal RNA (400 nucleotides) under Veillonella sp. Its description in RNAcentral is "bacterial SSU rRNA". It matches the Rfam family "Bacterial small subunit ribosomal RNA", at positions 1 to 403 of the family's 1533-position model. Lineage: Bacteria; Bacillati; Bacillota; Negativicutes; Veillonellales; Veillonellaceae. The record is from RNAcentral.
GAACUGAAGAGUUUGAUCAUGGCUCAGAUUGAACGCUGGCGGCAGGCCUAACACAUGCAAGUCGAGCGGAUGAAGGGAGCUUGCUCCUGGAUUCAGCGGCGGACGGGUGAGUAAUGCCUAGGAAUCUGCCUGGUAGUGGGGGAUAACGUCCGGAAACGGGCGCUAAUACCGCAUACGUCCUGAGGGAGAAAGUGGGGGAUCUUCGGACCUCACGCUAUCAGAUGAGCCUAGGUCGGAUUAGCUAGUUGGUGGGGUAAAGGCCUACCAAGGCGACGAUCCGUAACUGGUCUGAGAGGAUGAUCAGCCACACUGGAACUGAGACACGGUCCAGACUCCUACGGGAGGCAGCAGUGGGGAAUAUUGCACAAUGGGCGCAAGCCUGAUGCAGCCAUGCCGCGUG